Molecule: long non-coding RNA, 2410 nt
Organism: Oreochromis aureus
Lineage: Eukaryota; Metazoa; Chordata; Actinopteri; Cichliformes; Cichlidae
Source: Ensembl
GUGUUAUAAAGCAGCAGUCUACUUGGAACAGCAGGAAUCUUAUUUUUCCGACACGACGUGAAGGCGCUAUAACUGCCCGGAUGCGUUACCAAGAUGGCUGCUUGAUGGACUUGAGUUUUUGCAAAAUCAAAUAUAAUUGUUGAAUGAGCAUUAGUUAGUACACCUUGACAUCUUGGAUACAAUAACAAGUUAGCAUGCCACGUUUGUGUGCUUUCUGCGGCUGUAAUAAUCGAGUGGGCUGUGGGCUUUCGUUUUUCGCAUUCCCAAAGGACAGUACAAGGUAACUUAGUCACAAAAUCACAUUGUUUUAAAUGACGCAGAAUGACGUGUUUUCGUAUAAAGACCAGUCAUUAAAGACUUACAUAAGCGGGGAUACGUAAGGUUUCUUACUCUGUGGUAUUUAAACACAUCAGCUCAGUCCCGUUAGGUGAUUCAGCCUUAAAGCAACCUCGCCACUCGGCAGCCAUCUUGGUAACGUCUGCAGGUACUUACGUAGCAUUUUAAUUUAGCUUUCGUUUAUAAUGUUCACGGAGGGCGAAAAACUCCACGCACAGAGUCACCAGUCAAGGGUUAUAAAAGCGCUUUACGGGGUUACUGACCUUUAAAAAAAGAGACAUCCAAAUUCGUUUUUCUUUAGAAAAUGCGUUACCAAGGUGACUGUCACAUAGCAAUACUUUGGUUUUGAAGUUUAAAUCACUUCUGAUUUUACUUAAUGACGUCAGGCAGUAAUAUGGCAUAAGUAAUGUACGAACAGCUGUUUCUUAAACACGUGUAAAGCGAAACAUGCAGAAGAACUCUGAAAAGCUGAUGCUGAUUUGUGUUUGAAGCAAUGUGAAUAAUUAAUACAGGAGGCGGAAAUGGCUUCUUAAUUUGAUGAGGGCAGACUUACCCCCCGACAGGACGAGAGAAGAGUCCGACAGAGCUGGGUAUGUGGUCUGCGAACAGCAUUUCAGGCCAAACGACAUAAACUCAAAGGGUAGAAGAAAACGUCUGGCUCCUGAAGCCAUCCCCAUUCUUCUGCACACUAUAAAGGAGGAACAGAGAGAUUUGGAGAUGCUUCCCACUGAUGUUCCUGCUCCAGUGCCUCUGCGAGACACACCCCCAUAUGAACAGGUCAUGGCAAUGUUUAACAAGCUGCUGGCAGAGAAGGAUGAGAAAAUCAAGGAUCUGAAAAGCAUUCUGCAGAGAGAGAGGGCCAGAAUGCGGCUGAUGAAGUUCCGUAUGAACAGCAAAAUCAGAGAACUGAAAAGAAAACUUGAACAGCAGCAGAACACUAGCGGUGACCAAGGCGAUCAGCUGACUGCUGCCUCCGACUGCCUUCCACAGGCAGCAAAGGAGUUUUUUGACAAGCAAAUAGCCAUGGCCAGGGUGAGGAAACACGGCCAGAGAUACGACAAGAAACAAAAGGACAUGGCAAUCCAGCUGUACAAACAGAGCCCAAGCUGUUACUCUGAACUCCAAAAAAUGUUUCAGUUACCGUCUUCAACCACUCUGAGGAGGCACCAGGUGGUCAGUCAGGAAGCGAGUCCAGACACAGCGGGUGACCCAGAGAGAGGUGAGGAGGAGAAACUUGCUGAUGUAGCUGGAUGGGUGGUGCAGAAAGUGGCUCAAGAUCCAGAAAUGGAGAAGGAUGCCGUCUCAGCUGUGAAGAAAAGCCCAACCUCUGCCAGGCUGCUUCAUCCAUCCGAAGCUUUCAAAGAAUGCAUUUCCAAAUGUGACGGUGUCAUCCAAAAAAUCCCCCCAAAUGCAAUGGCCCCGAAGAAAUUAAAGGCCUCCCUCAGAGCCAGCGGUGCUUUCAGUGAGCUCCACCGCAUCCAUCCUGCCCACUCAAAGGCCAUCGAGAGGGUUGCCUUGAAUAAAUAUGUAAUGUGCAGGGUGGUGGCCGAGCUGAAAGAAACAGCACAAAACAGAAAACGCACACAUGAGAAAAAAAGUGCUGCGUGUCAAGAGCUAAAUGUUAGCACCCAUGAAGUAAAUCAGGACUAAAUAAAUAUCAGAUGAUGUUAAUUUGAUAAUAAAUUAUUUUAGGCCAUUCUAACUUGUCUGUGUUGUUUCAAGCUUUCCUGCACUUGACCUAGAUGGAUUUAGUUUUUCAAUUUCAGUUCAAUUUUGUAUAGCGCCAUGCCUCAAGGCACUUAUUGUAAGCUAAAGACGCUACAAUAAUACAAAGAAAACCCCAACAAUCAGCCGUUUCAGUCUCCAUCGCUGUAUUUUAGCUGUCCGGUGCGUGUAAGUGUGUGUGUGAAGAAUCUCUAGCCAGAGAAAACAUGAUAUAAAUAAUUUAAAUCAGUGGAACUUUUGGUUGCUUCCUCCUUAUUUUACCACAACACACAGAUCCAUGUAUAAUUUGACACUGAUUUUCCAUUGGAUGCUAUUCCCGACACAACCCUCCCAUAAACCCAAGCUUGGG